UGGCAGGCUUAACACAUGCAAGUCGAACGAUGACUCUCUAGCUUGCUAGAGAUGAUUAGUGGCGGACGGGUGAGUAACAUUUAGGAAUCUGCCUAGUAGUGGGGGAUAGCUCGGGGAAACUCGAAUUAAUACCGCAUACGACCUACGGGUGAAAGGGGGCGCAAGCUCUUGCUAUUAGAUGAGCCUAAAUCAGAUUAGCUAGUUGGUGGGGUAAAGGCCCACCAAGGCGACGAUCUGUAACUGGUCUGAGAGGAUGAUCAGUCACACCGGAACUGAGACACGGUCCGGACUCCUACGGGAGGCAGCAGUGGGGAAUAUUGGACAAUGGGGGCAACCCUGAUCCAGCCAUGCCGCGUGUGUGAAGAAGGCCUUUUGGUUGUAAAGCACUUUAAGCAGGGAGGAGAGGCUAAUGGUUAAUACCCAUUAGAUUAGACGUUACCUGCAGAAUAAGCACCGGCUAACUCUGUGCCAGCAGCCGCGGUAAUACAGAGGGUGCGAGCGUUAAUCGGAAUUACUGGGCGUAAAGCGAGUGUAGGUGGCUCAUUAAGUCACAUGUGAAAUCCCCGGGCUUAACCUGGGAACUGCAUGUGAUACUGGUGGUGCUAGAAA
RNAcentral lists this ribosomal RNA (609 nucleotides) under Enhydrobacter sp. TD8. RNAcentral's name for it is "bacterial SSU rRNA". It matches the Rfam family "Bacterial small subunit ribosomal RNA", at positions 40 to 647 of the family's 1533-position model. Lineage: Bacteria; Pseudomonadati; Pseudomonadota; Alphaproteobacteria; Hyphomicrobiales. The record is from RNAcentral.